CCUACGGGUGGCAGCAGUGAGGAAUAUUGGUCAAUGGACGAGAGUCUGAACCAGCCAAGUAGCGUGAAGGAUGACUGCCCUAUGGGUUGUAAACUUCUUUUAUAUGGGAAUAAAAUGUUCCACGUGUGGGAUUUUGUAUGUACCAUAUGAAUAAGGAUCGGCUAACUCCGUGCCAGCAGCCGCGGUAAUACGGAGGAUCCGAGCGUUAUCCGGAUUUAUUGGGUUUAAAGGGAGCGUAGGUGGAUUGUUAAGUCAGUUGUGAAAGUUUGCGGCUCAACCGUAAAAUUGCAGUUGAAACUGGCAGUCUUGAGUACAGUAGAGGUGGGCGGAAUGCGUGGUGUAGCGGUGAAAUGCUUAGAUAUCACGAAGAACUCCGAUUGCGAAGGCAGUUCACUGGACUGCAACUGACACUGAGGCGCGAAAGUGUGGGUAUCAAACAGGAUUAGAUACCCGGGUAGUC
This 460-nucleotide ribosomal RNA is filed under the name uncultured bacterium. Its description in RNAcentral is "partial 16S ribosomal RNA". It matches the Rfam family "Bacterial small subunit ribosomal RNA", at positions 338 to 795 of the family's 1533-position model. The record is from RNAcentral.